AGUUCUGACGUGAGUUUCGGCGGGAAAAUGAAGGCUCGAUUUACGGCACCAAGGAACAAAACUGAAAGAGGACAGAGGAGAGGCUUCAGUUUCCAUCGGUAGCUGCCGCUGGGAAGAGAGACAUCACGGUCAGACGGGGACAAAAAUCCAGCCCUGGACUUUUCCUCUGAGACAGAAUCAUGGUUUUUUAACGGUCCAACGGCCCACCGGGACUUGUCUCUAUGGCCAGUCCCGAUGAUGGCGACAGCUCUGGGACUUGAGGAACCCAGCGGUCAGUCUGUAUUAUUUCUACUAACUCAUUGCAGUGCACUGAGCUCUCAGGGCCACCGUGGAUUAACUCUUUCUGCACUAUCUGCUCAACAGCAGACAGACGAGAGAACGACAGGAAAUACUGGACUUCAGCUACUCUCCAGGGUUUGAAACGGCCUUAGCAGAAACAUCUGAAGUCAUGACACUAACAUAUCAUCAUGUUGUCAUCCACCUGAUGUUCUCUGGAGUCCUGAGACUCUCUGAACUCGUGCAGCCUCAGAGCGACGCCAGAUCCUGCCAUCACUGACCGAUCGAGUCCAAGUCACACCAAGACCAGGUCCACAGAGGGUCCAGACUGAAUCCACAGCAGCUCACGUCUCAGGGGGAUCCAGGACGCAGAAACCCAACACUGGACACUGUGACAACAGAGCAAACUGACACUGGUAACCAUGAUCUCUCUCUGUCAGUUCACUUCAAAUGGCUUCAUUUACACAUUCAGACACAGUGCUGCAUAAAUACUGAUAUUAACAUUCACACAGUGGGAGAAGGAUUCAGAUCUUUUACUUGAGUCAAAGUACUGACACAGCAGUGUAACUGUAAUCCAUUACAUGUAAAAGUAAAAAAAAUGUUGGACUUUUUUUCUCUAAUGUUUGAUUUUUGCUGAGACACUGGAUCAUUUCAACAUUUGUUGAAACUGAGGAGAGUGGGCUAAAAAGGUUUCAUCUUAAAAUGUGUUGUACUUUAACUCCUUCUAUUAUAAAUAAAGUGAAACUGAGCGUGUCCUUCUGAAAUGUGGAGGAGCUGAAGUAUAA
This is a long non-coding RNA of Lates calcarifer (barramundi perch), 1061 nucleotides long. RefSeq lists it as uncharacterized. The transcript has 5 exons. The record is from RefSeq and is a predicted model, not a curated record. Lineage: Eukaryota; Metazoa; Chordata; Actinopteri; Centropomidae.